RNAcentral lists this small nucleolar RNA (69 nucleotides) under Magnaporthiopsis poae ATCC 64411. Its description in RNAcentral is "Magnaporthe poae ATCC 64411 a. fumigatus snoRNA Afu_190". Lineage: Eukaryota; Fungi; Ascomycota; Sordariomycetes; Magnaporthales; Magnaporthaceae. The record is from RNAcentral.
AUGAUGAUAUCCCAGCUGGCACCAGUCAUAGGGCGACUUGUACUCCCUCCAUUGAUGACAACCGCUGCG